AUUGAACGCUGGCAGCAGGCCUAACACAUGCAAGUCGAGCGGAUGAAGGGAGCUUGCUCCUGGAUUCAGCGGCGGACGGGUGAGUAAUGCCUAGGAAUCUGCCUGGUAGUGGGGGAUAACGUCCGGAAACGGGCGCUAAUACCGCAUACGUCCUGAGGGAGAAAGUGGGGGAUCUUCGGACCUCACGCUAUCAGAUGAGCCUAGGUCGGAUUAGCUAGUUGGUGGGGUAAAGGCCUACCAAGGCGACGAUCCGUAACUGGUCUGAGAGGAUGAUCAGUCACACUGGAACUGAGACACGGUCCAGACUCCUACGGGAGGCAGCAGUGGGGAAUAUUGGACAAUGGGUGAAAGCCUGAUCCAGCCAUGCCGCGUGUGUGAAGAAGGUCUUCGGAUUGUAAAGCACUUUAAGUUGGGAGGAAGGGCAGUAAGUUAAUACCUUGCUGUUUUGACGUUACCAACAGAAUAAGCACCGGCUAACUUCGUG
Molecule: ribosomal RNA, 484 nt
Filed under: uncultured bacterium
Lineage: Bacteria
Description: partial 16S ribosomal RNA
Rfam family: Bacterial small subunit ribosomal RNA
Source: RNAcentral